UGUUAAAAAUUUCAUCCAAUUGUACUCUUAAAAAUUUGUCUGGCUAAUGGAAUAACUAGACAAUGACACAUUUACCUCAUGUCAAUGUACAUGGACAAGUUUUUAACAUUAGAAAUGGAUAGAAUUCUUUAACA
Non-coding RNA from Gossypium raimondii (Peruvian cotton), 134 nucleotides. Lineage: Eukaryota; Viridiplantae; Streptophyta; Magnoliopsida; Malvales; Malvaceae. The record is from Rfam.